Molecule: small nucleolar RNA, 130 nt
Organism: Ictidomys tridecemlineatus (thirteen-lined ground squirrel)
Lineage: Eukaryota; Metazoa; Chordata; Mammalia; Rodentia; Sciuridae
Source: Ensembl
AAGCCAGCUAGUGAGUCUGCUUACCUGGAUGUGUUUCUGCAGAAGUUUAGAAAAAGCUGGCAAUAGUAAUGCCAUAUCAUAAGCCUUAAGGACACUGAAGUCAUUAAGGUUCCCAAAAAUGGCUACAACA